CCUACGGGUGGCUGCAGUGGGGAAUAUUGGACAAUGGGCGAAAGCCUGAUCCAGCCAUGCCGCGUGUGUGAAGAAGGCCUUCGGGUUGUAAAGCACUUUCAGUGGGGAAGAAAGCCUUGGGGCUAAUACCCUCGAGGAAGGACAUCACCCACAGAAGAAGCACCGGCUAACUCCGUGCCAGCAGCUGCGGUAAUACGGAGGGUGCGAGCGUUAAUCGGAAUUACUGGGCGUAAAGCGCGCGUAGGCGGUCUGAUAAGCCGGUUGUGAAAGCCCCGGGCUCAACCUGGGAACGGCAUCCGGAACUGUCAGGCUAGAGUGCAGGAGAGGAAGGUAGAAUUCCCGGUGUAGCGGUGAAAUGCGUAGAGAUCGGGAGGAAUACCAGUGGCGAAGGCGGCCUUCUGGACUGACACUGACGCUGAGGUGCGAAAGCGUGGGUAGCAAACAGGAUUAGAUACCCCUGUAGUC
This 465-nucleotide ribosomal RNA is filed under the name Vreelandella stevensii. RNAcentral describes it as "partial 16S ribosomal RNA". It matches the Rfam family "Bacterial small subunit ribosomal RNA", at positions 338 to 795 of the family's 1533-position model. The record is from RNAcentral. Lineage: Bacteria; Pseudomonadati; Pseudomonadota; Gammaproteobacteria; Oceanospirillales; Halomonadaceae.